RNAcentral lists this ribosomal RNA (159 nucleotides) under uncultured bacterium. Its description in RNAcentral is "partial 16S ribosomal RNA". It matches the Rfam family "Bacterial small subunit ribosomal RNA", at positions 355 to 509 of the family's 1533-position model. The record is from RNAcentral.
UGAGGAAUAUUGGUCAAUGGGCGGGAGCCUGAACCAGCCAAGUACGCGUGAGGGAAGACGGUCCUAUGGAUUGUAAACCUCUUUAGGCGGGGAGCAAUGCCGGGCACGCGUGCCCGGAGGGAGAGUACCCGCAGAAUAAGCAUCGGCUAACUCCGUGCC